AUUGAACGCUGGCGGCAUGCCUUACACAUGCAAGUCGAACGGCAGCGGGGGAGAAGCUUGCUUUUCCUGCCGGCGAGUGGCGAACGGGUGAGUAAUACAUCGGAACGUGCCCUGUAGUGGGGGAUAACUAGUCGAAAGAUUAGCUAAUACCGCAUACGACCUGAGGGUGAAAGGGGGGGACCGCAAGGCCUCAUGCUAUAGGAGCGGCCGAUGUCGGAUUAGCUAGUUGGUGGGGUAAAGGCCUACCAAGGCGACGAUCAGUAGCUGGUCUGAGAGGACGAUCAGCCACACUGGGACUGAGACACGGCCCAGACUCCUACGGGAGGCAGCAGUGGGGAAUUUUGGACAAUGGGCGAAAGCCUGAUCCAGCAAUGCCGCGUGUGUGAAGAAGGCCUUCGGGUUGUAAAGCACUUUUGUCCGGAAAGAAAUGGCUCUGGUUAAUACCUGGGGUCGAUGACGGUACCGGAAGAAUAAGGACCGGCUAACUACGUGCCAGCAGCCGCAGUAA
Molecule: ribosomal RNA, 508 nt
Filed under: uncultured bacterium
Lineage: Bacteria
Description: partial 16S ribosomal RNA
Rfam family: Bacterial small subunit ribosomal RNA
Source: RNAcentral